Molecule: unclassified non-coding RNA, 744 nt
Filed under: Hevea brasiliensis (rubber tree)
Lineage: Eukaryota; Viridiplantae; Streptophyta; Magnoliopsida; Malpighiales; Euphorbiaceae
Source: RNAcentral
GCCUCACGGGAACUAGUACCCGGGACAGAUGAACAAAACAUUAUAGGGUGCAAGUGGGUGUUCAGGAUUAAAUAGAAAACUGAUGGUAGUAUCGAUCGCUACAAAGCGAGACUCGUUGCCAAAGGGUAUCAUCAACAUCCCAGGAUAGAUUACAUUGAAACAUUUUCGCUGGUCAUUAAGCCAAUCACCCGACGGGUCAUUCUCUCCAUAGUUGUCUCUCUUGACGGGGAAAUACUUCAACUUGAUGUUUCUAACACUUUUCUACAUGGGGACUUAGGAAACACUGUGUUUAUGGCCCAACCAUCAGGAUAUGUUGACAAAGACUGCCCAAAUCACGUGUGCAAACUUCGGCGGUCCCUUUAUGGCCUCAAACAGGCGCCACGCCUAUGGUACAUGAAGCUGACAUAGGUCUUGAGACAGCUAGGAUUCAUUGCCUCUAAAGCCGACAUUUCAUCGUUUCAUUACACUAAAGGUACCACAAAAGCUUUUGUUCAAUUACUCGACAUGGAUGAUAUUUUACUCAAAGCUAAUGACACCAAGUAUCUCCAUGAGGUAAUUUCCUCUCUGCAAAAGCAUUUUAGGGUGAAAGAUCUCGGCUCCCUCGAUUAUAUUAUUGGGAUUGAGGCUACUAGAAGUAGUGCAGGACUUCAUCUUCACCAAAGUAAUAUGUAGUCGAUAUUUUGUCCAAGGCCGUGAUGUCCACUUGUAAUGGCAUCUCAACUCCAGCUUGUACCAAUAAAAAGU